Oryza sativa Japonica Group (Japanese rice) is the source of this 207-nucleotide microRNA precursor. It matches the Rfam family "MIR812 microRNA precursor family". The record is from Rfam. Lineage: Eukaryota; Viridiplantae; Streptophyta; Magnoliopsida; Poales; Poaceae.
AAAAAGGCAAACCCUAGGUUUCUGUGUCCAACGUUUGACCGUCCGUCUUAUUUGAAAAAAUUAUGAAAAAAAUUUAAAAGACAAGUCACGCAUAAAGUAUUAAUCAUGUUUUAUCAUCUAACAACAAUGAAAAUACUAAUUAUAAAAAAAUUUCAUAUAAGACGGACAAUCAAACGUUGGACACGGAAACCCAGGGUUUGUCUUUUU